GUAGGAGGCGAGCGUUAUCCGGAUUUACUGGGUGUAAAGCGCGUGCAGGCGGUCGACUAAGUUGGAUGUGAAAGCUCCUGGCUCAACUGGGAGAGGUCGUUCAAGACUGGUCGACUGGAGAGCAGUAAGGGAAGGUGGAAUUCCGGGUGUAGUGGUGAAAUGCGUAGAUAUCCGGAGGAACACCAGUGGCGAAAGCGGCCUUCUGGACUGCAUCUGACGCUCAGACGCGAAAGCUAGGGGAGCAAACGGGAUUAGAGACCCCGGUAGUCCUAGCUGUAAACGAUGUGAACUUGGCGCUGGGUGGGUAAAACCGCUCAGUGCCGGAGCAAACGCGAUAAGUUCACCACCUGAGGACUACGGCCGCAAGGUUAAA
Molecule: ribosomal RNA, 373 nt
Filed under: uncultured bacterium
Lineage: Bacteria
Description: bacterial SSU rRNA
Rfam family: Bacterial small subunit ribosomal RNA
Source: RNAcentral